Molecule: non-coding RNA, 45 nt
Organism: Schistosoma mansoni
Lineage: Eukaryota; Metazoa; Platyhelminthes; Trematoda; Strigeidida; Schistosomatidae
Source: Rfam
AUCCAGCUGACGAGCCCCAAACGGGGAGAAACGCGCGUCCUGGAU